CUACAUGAAGCCGGAAUCGCUAGUAAUCGCGGAUCAGAAUGCCGCGGUGAAUACGUUCCCGGGCCUUGUACACACCGCCCGUCACACCAUGGGAGCCGGUAAUACCCGAAGUCAGUAGUCCAACCUCGUGAGGACGCUGCCGAAGGUAGGAUUGGCGACUGGGGUGAAGUCGUAACAAGGUACC
RNAcentral lists this ribosomal RNA (184 nucleotides) under uncultured bacterium. RNAcentral describes it as "partial 16S ribosomal RNA". It matches the Rfam family "Bacterial small subunit ribosomal RNA", at positions 1316 to 1500 of the family's 1533-position model. The record is from RNAcentral.